AUUGAACGCUGGCGGCAUGCUUUACACAUGCAAGCCGAACGGUAACAGGGUGCUUGCACCGCUGACGAGUGGCGAACGGGUGAGUAAUGCGUCGGAACGUGCCGAGUAGUGGGGGAUAACGCAGCGAAAGUUGUGCUAAUACCGCAUACGUACUGAGGUAGAAAGUGGGGGACCUUCGGGCCUCACGCUAUUCGAGCGGCCGACGUCUGAUUAGCUAGUAGGUGAGGUAAAGGCUCACCUAGGCGACGAUCAGUAGCGGGUCUGAGAGGAUGCUCCGCCACACUGGGACUGAGACACGGCCCAGACUCCUACGGGAGGCAGCAGUGGGGAAUUUUGGACAAUGGGCGAAAGCCUGAUCCAGCCAUGCCGCGUGUCUGAAGAAGGCCUUCGGGUUGUAAAGGACUUUUGUCAGGGAGGAAAUCCCUAGUGCUAAUAACACUGGGGGAUGACAGUACCUGAAGAAUAAGCACCGGCUAACUACGUGCCAGCCGCCGCGGUAA
Molecule: ribosomal RNA, 500 nt
Filed under: uncultured bacterium
Lineage: Bacteria
Description: partial 16S ribosomal RNA
Rfam family: Bacterial small subunit ribosomal RNA
Source: RNAcentral